UACGUAGGGUGCGAGCGUUGUCCGGAAUUAUUGGGCGUAAAGAGCUUGUAGGCGGUCUGUCGCGUCUGCUGUGAAAAUCCGGGGCUCAACCCCGGACUUGCAGUGGGUACGGGCAGACUAGAGUGUGGUAGGGGAGACUGGAAUUCCUGGUGUAGCGGUGAAAUGCGCGGAUAUCAGGAGGAACACCGAUGGCGAAGGCAGGUCUCUGGGCCACUACUGACGCUGAGAAGCGAAAGCAUGGGGAGCGAACAGG
RNAcentral lists this ribosomal RNA (253 nucleotides) under uncultured bacterium. Its description in RNAcentral is "partial 16S ribosomal RNA". It matches the Rfam family "Bacterial small subunit ribosomal RNA", at positions 524 to 776 of the family's 1533-position model. The record is from RNAcentral.